AGGUUCUUGUGACUGCAGAGAUGACGUGACAUUCGUGUGUUCAAAGGAUAUAGACCUGCGGCUAACUGGAUUUGAUUUAUAAGAGGGGAUUCUGCAGUAAAUGGCCGCUCUCUUCAUAUUGCUGCUAUGGAAAACAGAAUUGUCAAUAGGAUGUAGUCUGAUAAAUAGUGCUGAGUGAAGAUGCAGCUUCAAUAAGUGUGAAAUCAAUGGAAGAUACUUACCGCAUGAAAAGCCUUUUGAGAUUUUUCUGACAGGCUCCUAUUUAGGAAACUUGAUCUGUUUCCUU
RNAcentral lists this long non-coding RNA (286 nucleotides) under Gallus gallus (chicken). RNAcentral describes it as "long non-coding RNA NONGGAT009361". Lineage: Eukaryota; Metazoa; Chordata; Aves; Galliformes; Phasianidae. The record is from RNAcentral.